Molecule: transfer RNA, 90 nt
Filed under: Octopus sinensis (East Asian common octopus)
Lineage: Eukaryota; Metazoa; Mollusca; Cephalopoda; Octopoda; Octopodidae
Description: tRNA-Leu
Rfam family: tRNA (bases 6-81)
About the family: Transfer RNA (tRNA) molecules are approximately 80 nucleotides in length. Their secondary structure includes four short double-helical elements and three loops (D, anti-codon, and T loops). Further hydrogen bonds mediate the characteristic L-shaped molecular structure. tRNAs have two regions of fundamental functional importance: the anti-codon, which is responsible for specific mRNA codon recognition, and the 3' end, to which the tRNAs corresponding amino acid is attached (by aminoacyl-tRNA synthetases). tRNAs cope with the degeneracy of the genetic code in two manners: having more than one tRNA (with a specific anti-codon) for a particular amino acid; and 'wobble' base-pairing, i.e. permitting non-standard base-pairing at the 3rd anti-codon position.
Source: RNAcentral
GACAUACGAUGGCCGAGUGGUUAAGGCGUUGGACUUAAGUUCCAAUGGACAUCUGUCCGCGUGGGUUUGAACCCCACUCGUGCUAAUUCA